Molecule: ribosomal RNA, 184 nt
Filed under: Verrucomicrobiota bacterium
Lineage: Bacteria; Pseudomonadati; Verrucomicrobiota
Description: Verrucomicrobia bacterium partial 16S ribosomal RNA
Rfam family: Bacterial small subunit ribosomal RNA
Source: RNAcentral
UUUUAACGGAGAGUUUGAUUCUGGCUCAGAACGAACGCUGGCGGCGUGGAUAAGACAUGCAAGUCGAGCGAGAUUUUUUCUUGUAGCAAUACAGGGAAAAGUCUAGCGGCGAACGGGUGCUUAACACGUGGGCAAUCUGUCUUGAAGUGGGGGAUAGCUCGGCGAAAGCCGAAUUAAUACCGCA